GAUGAACGCUGGCGGCGUGCUUAACACAUGCAAGUCGAACGAUGAAGCCCAGCUUGCUGGGUGGAUUAGUGGCGAACGGGUGAGUAACACGUGAGUAACCUGCCCUUAACUCUGGGAUAAGCCUGGGAAACUGGGUCUAAUACCGGAUAGGAGCGUCCACCGCAUGGUGGGUGUUGGAAAGAUUUAUCGGUUUUGGAUGGACUCGCGGCCUAUCAGCUUGUUGGUGAGGUAAUGGCUCACCAAGGCGACGACGGGUAGCCGGCCUGAGAGGGUGACCGGCCACACUGGGACUGAGACACGGCCCAGACUCCUACGGGAGGCAGCAGUGGGGAAUAUUGCACAAUGGGCGAAAGCCUGAUGCAGCGACGCCGCGUGGGGGAUGACGGCCUUCGGGUUGUAAACCUCUUUCAGUAGGGAAGAAGCGAAAGUGACGGUACCUGCAGAAGAAGCACCGGCUAACUACGUG
Molecule: ribosomal RNA, 466 nt
Filed under: uncultured bacterium
Lineage: Bacteria
Description: partial 16S ribosomal RNA
Rfam family: Bacterial small subunit ribosomal RNA
Source: RNAcentral